GUCAGGAUGGCCGAGUGGUCCAAGGCGCCAGACUCAAGUUCUGGUCCUCGAAAGAGGGCGUUGGUUCAAACCCCACUUCUGACA
Molecule: transfer RNA, 84 nt
Filed under: Eutrema salsugineum
Lineage: Eukaryota; Viridiplantae; Streptophyta; Magnoliopsida; Brassicales; Brassicaceae
Rfam family: tRNA
About the family: Transfer RNA (tRNA) molecules are approximately 80 nucleotides in length. Their secondary structure includes four short double-helical elements and three loops (D, anti-codon, and T loops).
Source: Rfam by way of RNAcentral